Molecule: RNA transcript, 2670 nt
Organism: Brassica napus (rape)
Lineage: Eukaryota; Viridiplantae; Streptophyta; Magnoliopsida; Brassicales; Brassicaceae
Exons: 8
Source: RefSeq, a predicted model, not a curated record
AUAAACCGGUUUAAGGGAGGAGGCGACUUUUUUUUUCUAGACAUGGCGAGUUUCGAGAGAUUCGAACCCGUAUUCGGAGAAGUCGUACCCGAACGCUCGGAUCCGGGUUCGGGUCUACUCCGGCGGUGUCUCUUCCACGUCUACGCUUCCGAUUCGUUUCACCUCACCGUCCAUGUGACGGACUUUAUCACCGGGGCCUGGGAGACGAUCCUCUCCGUCUCGCAGCUAGACGAUAUGAGGGAUACUGUUGGCAUUGGUGGAACGUGGUCUGAGUUCCUCGAUUACACUGUUGCUUCUUUGAAAUCCGAAAACGUGAAGCUUCUCCUUGGUGAUCAUUCAAUUUCCAAAGGUGUAGAGAGUGCGAGGUUAGUUUCCCAGAAGGCCAAAGGAAUGCCUCGCAUAGUAGUUACUCUAACAAAGAUGGCUGAAUCAUCUGCUAGUGAGGCAAUGGCAACUCUGUCUCUCGAGUUGUUCAGAUCAUUCAAGAGAAAGCAACACUUACAAGGGGAAACGAGCACUUCAGCUGCGGCAACUGAUGAAAAGGAUAAGAGGGACGCUUCCCAUAACCAACCGGAACGAUACUCUGGAAAACUAGAUGUUAUGGCUCCAUCAAUAGAUAACCGGCAAGACUCUCCCGCCAAGCAAUCAACUCGAGAAGCUAAUAUAAUAAAGCCUUCUAAACGAGUGCCUGCUCACCGGAGAACCCGUAAACGAGGUGCUCUUCUGCAGGACUCAGAUGAAGAGGACGGCUAACGCUCUGGAUCUCAUGGGGAGUUAUGCUUAAUGCUCUUAUUAAUUUCCCAGUGUUUCCUCCAAGCACAAAUUAUUACGUAUCCAAGAUAUGAACAAAGCAUACACACCAGUUACCAGUUCAGACACAUACAGAUAGAGUACAGUUUGGGUUGUGCGUUUCAGAAAUGAGUUUCUCCUCUUCCAUGGCUUCUCUGACUGCCUUCAAAACGCAUGGCUUGAGUUUCUUGGUGGUAACAAUGAUCCCUGUCUUGUGAUCAAGAUAUUUUCCUUUCGAGAAGUCCAGAGACUUCCCUGCAGCAUCGCAAACCACGCCUCCAGCUUCUGCACAAGGUUAUAUUUUGUUCACUUCCCUAUUUAACCCGUUGCUGUGAAUUAGAGCUCACAGUUCUCAGUGUUAAAAAAAAAAAGGGUUUUAUUUACAGUACCUGUUGUGAUGAUGAAACCAGGGGCAUGGUCCCAUAUAGUCUCACGGUGUCCACAGAGAGUGAAACGCAAAUAUAUCUCUGCGUCUCCUCUGGACACUGCUGCAUACUUUGCUUGGCUAUCCAUCCUUACUGGUAAUGCUGUGAUCCCAAGUUUCUGCUCUAACCGUAACCAUACCGGUUUACUAAAGAAGAAUCCUACGUGGUUAUGCCUACAUGAGGGCAAUACUGUAACACAAGAAAGUAAGACAUUACCUCGGCAAUGGAACUAUGGAUGGGAAUUGGUUUGUGGUAUGAUUCUAAGAACUUUGCUUCUUCAAGAUUCUCAUUGCUACUCACUCGUACCUGUCAACACAGCUUUCACUCUCUUUUAACACUUAUUACACGGUUCAGCUUUGGAUAAGGUAGAUGAUGAUACCUUCUGUGGCAGAGAAUGGCCUUCAACCGGUUGCACGUAGGCCCCUAAACCAGCUGUAGCAAAGAAAAGACAGCCAACAUUCUCCUUGGAAGACAUGUCUGUCUCACCAACCGCAGAAGCUAAAGGAAGAUUCGGACAAGCCAUGACACCAAGCACCACUUUGCCUUCCACAAGCAACGCUAAUCCCACAGCGUACUGCUCUCCUCUCACAAAUCUAAACAAGCAGAGAAUCUUAUUACUCGGGAAGGUAAAGCGUAUCAAAAGAUAUUGAUUACAGAGAUGUGUUACCCUCUGGUUCCAUCUAUAGGAUCAAGAACCCAGUGGUAACCACUGCAACCACCUUCUGAUUUACCGCAGUCUAUAGCGUUCAACACAUCUUCUGUGGAUAGAGGAGGAGAGUCUGCGUAUGAUUCCUCAGAAGCUAGAGUAUCUUUCACUAGCUUCGUAAUACCUUCUAGAAACACCUCACUUCCCUGCUUCCGCAGUUCUCCGGUUUCCUACAAGAAUAUGAUAAAAUCAUUUAACGCUAUAAGACAUCUGAUUAACGAUUGUGUUUUAGAGUUACUGCACACCUCUUCUGCUACUAAUGAAAAGGUUGCAGGUUGAAGCUCCCUCUCUAAUACAAUACUAACAAGAGCUUGUGACCCUGAAGAAACAAAUCCAUUAAUGGUAGAGUUAAGUGAACUUUAAACUUCAAAAGCUGAGGUACAAACCAAAAUCAGCUGCAGUAACCGGAGUUCUGUCUGAUUUUGUCCAUACUUCGGACUGAAACAGAGUCUUCUGUACUCCCUACAUCAUAUUCAUAUAAGACAAGGUUUGGAAUCGGUUCUAGCUCCAAGUGAUGAUUAAUUUCAAUGAUAGAUGGUAACACUUUCUUACUUGGCUGAGACGAGCAGCUAGAGAAACGGCUUUCUUUGCAGCGGCUAGCUCUUUCUCGUAAGACAUUUUACAAAGCUUCAAGAAUAUAAAUAUCAACAACACUUUAUGCUAUAUGGAAUAUGGUUCUAGUGAACCACAAUCCAUAGACGUUUGUUACAUAUAUACAAUUCAUAGAUUAUAUUUUACGUUUAAAACGGA